Molecule: ribosomal RNA, 568 nt
Filed under: uncultured bacterium
Lineage: Bacteria
Description: partial 16S ribosomal RNA
Rfam family: Bacterial small subunit ribosomal RNA
Source: RNAcentral
UGGGGAAUAUUGCACAAUGGGCGAAAGCCUGAUGCAGCAACGCCGCGUGAGGGACGACGGCCUUCGGGUUGUAAACCUCUUUAGCAAGGAAGAAGCGAAAGUGACGGUACUUGCAGAAAAAGCGCCGGCUAACUACGUGCCAGCAGCCGCGGUAAUACGUAGGGCGCAAGCGUUAUCCGGAAUUAUUGGGCGUAAAGAGCUCGUAGGCGGUUUGUCGCGUCUGCUGUGAAAACCCGAGGCUCAACCUCGGGCCUGCAGUGGGUACGGGCAGACUAGAGUGCGGUAGGGGAGAUUGGAACUCCUGGUGUAGCGGUGGAAUGCGCAGAUAUCAGGAAGAACACCGAUGGCGAAGGCAGAUCUCUGGGCCGUAACUGACGCUGAGGAGCGAAAGGGUGGGGAGCAAACAGGCUUAGAUACCCUGGUAGUCCACCCGUAAACGUUGGGAACUAGUUGUGGGGUCCAUUCCACGGAUUCCGUGGACGCAGCUAACGCAUUAAGUUCCCCGCCUGGGGAGUACGGCCGCAAGGCUAAAACUGCAAAUGAAUUGACGGGGUCAUAGCUGUUUCCU